AGCACGGGAGCAAUCCUCGGUGGCGAGUGGCGAACGGGUGAGUAAUGUAUCGGAACGUGCCCAGUCGUGGGGGAUAACGUAGCGAAAGCUACGCUAAUACCGCAUACGAUCUAUGGAUGAAAGCGGGGGACCGCAAGGCCUCGCGCGAUUGGAGCGGCCGAUAUCAGAUUAGGUAGUUGGUGGGGUAAAGGCUCACCAAGGCGACGAUCAGUAGCUGGUCUGAGAGGACGACCAGCCACACUGGAACUGAGACACGGUCCAGACUCCUACGGGAGGCAGCAGUGGGGAAUUUUGGACAAUGGGCGCAAGCCUGAUCCAGCAAUGCCGCGUGAGUGAAGAAGACCUUCGGGUUGUAAAGCUCUUUUGUCAGGGAAGAAACGGCUGUGGCUAAUAUCCACGGCUAAUGACGGUACCCUGAAGAAUAAGCACCGGCUAACUACGUGCCAGCAGCCGCGGUAAUACGUAGGGUGCAAGCGUUAAUCGGAAUUACUGGGCGUAAAGCGUGCGCAGGCGGUUUUGUAAGUCUGACGUGAAAUCCCCGGGCUUAACCUGGGAAUUGCGUUGGAGACUGCAAGGCUAGAAUCUGGCAGAGGGGGGUAGAAUUCCACGUGUAGCAGUGAAAUGCGUAGAGAUGUGGAGGAACACCGAUGGCGAAGGCAGCCCCCUGGGUCAAGAUUGACGCUCAUGCACGAAAGCGUGGGGAGCAAACAGGAUUAGAUACCCUGGUAGUCCACGCCCUAAACGAUGUCUACUAGUUGUCGGGUCUUAAUUGACUUGGUAACGCAGCUAACGCGUGAAGUAGACCGCCUGGGGAGUAC
RNAcentral lists this ribosomal RNA (818 nucleotides) under uncultured bacterium. Its description in RNAcentral is "bacterial SSU rRNA". It matches the Rfam family "Bacterial small subunit ribosomal RNA", at positions 70 to 883 of the family's 1533-position model. The record is from RNAcentral.